AUACUGCUCAGGUGAAAGG
Molecule: unclassified non-coding RNA, 19 nt
Filed under: Mus musculus (house mouse)
Lineage: Eukaryota; Metazoa; Chordata; Mammalia; Rodentia; Muridae
Description: oocyte_clustered_small_RNA856
Source: RNAcentral